RNAcentral lists this ribosomal RNA (776 nucleotides) under uncultured Neocallimastigales. RNAcentral describes it as "partial large subunit ribosomal RNA". It matches the Rfam family "Eukaryotic large subunit ribosomal RNA", at positions 23 to 634 of the family's 3401-position model. Lineage: Eukaryota; Fungi; Neocallimastigomycota; Neocallimastigomycetes; Neocallimastigales. The record is from RNAcentral.
AGAGAGAGACAUGCGCGCAUAUCAAUAAGCGGAGGAAAAGAAACUAACAAGGAUUCCCUUAGUAACGGCGAGUGAAGCGGGAAGAGCUCAAAUUUGAAAUCUUCAAGGUUUUACCUUGACGAAUUGUAGUUUAAAGAAGUGUUUUCUGCUGAAGUUUUGGUAAAAGUUCUUUGGAAUAGGACAUCAUAGAGGGUGAGAAUCCCGUAUUUGACCAUUAUUUUCAGCUUUGUGAUACAGCUUUCAAAGAGUCGGAUUGUUUGGGAAUGCAGUCCAAAAUGGGUGGUAAAUUUCAUCUAAAGCUAAAUAUUGGCGAGAGACCGAUAGCGAACAAGUACCGUGAGGGAAAGAUGAAAAGAACUCUGAAAAGAGAGUUAAACAGUACGUGAAAUUGUCAAAAGGGAAGCGUUUGACACCAGUGUUGUUUUCUCGAAAAUCAAUUAAAAAUGGCUCGAUUUUGUAUUGCUGAGACCUUAAAAGCUCACUGUACAUUUUUCGUGUCUUUUUUAAUGCACUUUUCGUUUAACAAGUCAACAUCAGUUUCUUUUGUUGUAAAAGGGUCAUUGGAAGGUGGCUUUCUUUUCGGAGAAAGUGUUUAUAGCCUUUGGCCUCUGCAAUCGGGAGAGACUGAGGUCUGCAGCGUAGACUCUUCGGGGUUAGAUACAUUUGUGCUAAGUUAUAGCUUUUUAUAGACAACUUGUUGACUAUAAUUAGUCUUGUAGCUUACUCGCUUAUGCUAUUUUACCUACGCUUAGGAUGUUGAAGAUGUAGCACAUCAU